Molecule: long non-coding RNA, 1673 nt
Organism: Mauremys reevesii (Reeves's turtle)
Lineage: Eukaryota; Metazoa; Chordata; Testudines; Geoemydidae
Exons: 3
Source: RefSeq, a predicted model, not a curated record
GGCUAAUUAGACUGGGCUGGUCAGCUCCAGGCUAUCCUAUUAUAUAGUCAAAAAAUGUUUCCUUUUCCCCCCCUCCUUCCUCCAAAAUGAGGCAUUUCUUCCUAAAAUUACACUGGUUUGGGAUGCACGACAGGUGAGCCCGAUCAGCAAAGUUUGGACACCUUUUCCCUCAGCCAAAGUCGGAGGCUGUUUGGCUCUGGGGUUCUGGCCUAGGCCCACAUCUAAUCUUGGUGGGAUUUGCUCCCCCUGCCAGAGAUGGACGUUUAAUCCUGUGUCCUGCAGUCUACAAAGAGGGAAGGGGAUUUACCCUUGGAAAUGAAGAAAAGCUGUUCAGGUGGGGCCAGGAACAAGGCAGGAAGAAUGCAAGAGGGUGAAGCUAACGCCCAGAGAGAUGAAGUGAAUUCCCCAAGAUUACAUAUCGAGUCAGUGGCAGUGUCGGCAAGAGAACCAAAGUCUCCCGACAUGAAAUCCCCUGCUCCGACUGUUAGACAAGGCUGCCUGUGGACACUGAUGGUUUAUAGCCACAUGCUCAAUAUUUCACAAUACAACACACACAGUUCCAGGGAUGAUAUCACCUGACUCAGUCUGUCUUUCCAUUUGUAUUUAUAAAAGAACAUCAUAAAAGGAGGCAGUGUGAAGAUAUACAAUAACUAGGACUCAUUGGCCAAUUAUUAUAUAACGUAACAGAAAACAUUUUCCAAAACCAAUCACAUAAUUCUAGAAGUGUACGUAUACUAGAUACUUCUUCGGAGGGGACUGAAAAAGCUUUAUCCUGCCACCUAGCAUGUGACAGCCCAACUGAGGUUUAUCAUGUCCAGCAAACUGCAUACCCUGCUAUACGAAUCAGAGAAACACACAGUCCAAAGAGUAACCAUAAGCAUGCAAACUGACUAUAAUAUUAUUCCACAAGCCUGUGACUCCUGCAUUUCUCAGAGGGGGAUCAUGCCUGUUUCUCACAAACUGCAAAUCUAAUAGUACUGAAAGCCACCUCAGUACUGGAAUGGAGGGGCACUUUGUCUGUGGGCUGGGUUGCUGUGUUCCGCACUUGGGAAACUGUACAGUAUAUUGAGUGUUAGAGGGAGAUAAAAAAAUAAUGCUUAGAAUAGAAUGGGGGUUGAAUCCUUAACUACGGAACUAUGAACAUGGUUCCAUGAUGUGCUGUUCCCACUAAAGCACACAGCAUAGCUCGUACAGAUCUCAGUGGGUUAUCAUAACAUGCACAACCUGGGUUCUUAAGGUUCUCCGGGAGCAGCAAAACAAAGCCAACACCCCUAUUGACAUCAGAUAGCCUGGUCCCAGUGGGAAGUGAUAUCCGACAUCCCAAUUCAUACUAGAGAAACCACUGUACUGCUAACAGCAAUGCAGACGCAAACCCAAUUUAAACAGUCCAUGUUUAAGUGAUCAAGGAUAACCAGUCUGCUUCCAUGUGAUAAUGGAAACUCUCUCUAGUCCUUUGAGAUCAACAUUCUUUGCUUGCUAUGUUGAUGGAACUGAAACUUUAUGUCACUUAAUUGCUUCUCAAUGAUAUAUACAAUAUCUAUCCUAUAGGUAUAUAAUAUAUUAAACCUGCACUAAUUAUUAUUAUAUAAUAUAUGAAAUGUGUACUAGAAAUCUCCCAUAUUAGACAACCUCCUGUAUUGAGAUUACCAAUUGAAGUCUAUUUUGUCCAUUGA